GACGAACGCUGGCGGCGUGCUUAACACAUGCAAGUCGAACGGAAAGGCCCUGCUUUUGUGGGGUGCUCGAGUGGCGAACGGGUGAGUAACACGUGAGUAACCUGCCCUUGACUUUGGGAUAACUUCAGGAAACUGGGGCUAAUACCGGAUAGGAGCUCCUGCUGCAUGGUGGGGGUUGGAAAGUUUCGGCGGUUGGGGAUGGACUCGCGGCUUAUCAGCUGGUUGGUGGGGUAGUGGCUUACCAAGGCUUUGACGGGUAGCCGGCCUGAGAGGGUGACCGGCCACAUUGGGACUGAGAUACGGCCCAGACUCCUACGGGAGGCAGCAGUGGGGAAUAUUGCACAAUGGGCGGAAGCCUGAUGCAGCAACGCCGCGUGCGGGAUGACGGCCUUCGGGUUGUAAACCGCUUUCGCCUGUGACGAAGCGUGAGUGACGGUAAUGGGUAAAGAAGCACCGGCUAACUACGU
RNAcentral lists this ribosomal RNA (467 nucleotides) under uncultured bacterium. RNAcentral describes it as "partial 16S ribosomal RNA". It matches the Rfam family "Bacterial small subunit ribosomal RNA", at positions 28 to 506 of the family's 1533-position model. The record is from RNAcentral.